AUCGAUGAAGAACGCAGCGAAAUGCGAUAAGUAAUGUGAAUUGCACAAUUCAGUGAAUCAUCGAAUCUUUGAACGCACCUUGCGCCCUCUGGUAUUCCGGAGGGCAUGCCUGUUUGAGUGUCAUUAAAUUCUCAACUUCAAUAGCUUUUAUUAGCUUAUUGAUGCUUGGAUGUGGGAGCUUGCUGGCGUCUUAGAUGUUCGGCUCUCCUUAAAUUUAUUAGUGGAAACCUCUUUGUUAGGUUAUUCUUGGUGUGAUAAUUAUCUACGCUUUGCAUAAUCUAAUGUUUCAUUGGGAUUAGAGAUUUCUCAGUAGAAAUACUGGUAUGGGUGUUGCAAUUAAUUUUGCUCUAUCUGUUAUCUCUCAGUAGCAAUACUGGUUUUGGUGUUGUAAUUAAUUUGCUUCACCUGUAGUCUCAGAGGAAAAGGGAAGUUCUGCUUUCUAACUGUCUAUGUAUGUAGACAAUUUAUUGACUAUUUGACCUCAAAUCAGGUAGGACUACCCGCUGAACUUAAGCAUAUCAAUAAGCGGAGGAAAAGAAACUAACAAGGAUUCCCCUAGUAACUGCGAGUGAAGAGGGAAAAGCUCAAAUUUAAAAUCUGGCAGUCUUUUGAUUGUCCGAGUUGUAAUUUAGAGAAGUGUUACCCGUGUUGAACCGUGUACAAGUUUCCUGGAAUGGAACGUCAUAGAGGGUGAGAAUCCCGUCUUUGACACGGAUCCCAAUGCAUUGUGGUACAUUUUCGAAGAGUCGAGUUGUUUGGGAAUGCAGCUCUAAAUGGGUGGUAAAUUCCAUCUAAAGCUAAAUAUUGGGGAGAGACCGAUAGCGAACAAGUACCGUGAGGGAAAGAUGAAAAGAACUUUGGAAAGAGAGUUAAACAGUACGUGAAAUUGUUGAAAGGGAAACGCUUGAAGUCAGUCAUGUUGCCCAAGGAUCAACCUUGCUCUUUUGCUUGGUGUACUUCUUGGAUCGACAGGUCAGCAUCAAUUUUGAUCGAUGGAUAAAGUUCAGAGGAAUGUGGCAUCUUCGGAUGUGUUAUAGCCUUUGUCCGUAUACAUCGGUUGGGAUUGAGGAACUCAGCAUGCCGCAAGGCCAGGUUUUUAAACCAUGUUCAUGCUUAGGAUGCUGGCAUAAUGGCUUUAAUCGACCCGUCUUGAAACACGG
RNAcentral lists this ribosomal RNA (1160 nucleotides) under uncultured fungus. Its description in RNAcentral is "eukaryotic LSU rRNA". The stretch from base 477 to 1160 matches the Rfam family "Eukaryotic large subunit ribosomal RNA", at positions 1 to 664 of the family's 3401-position model. The record is from RNAcentral. Lineage: Eukaryota; Fungi.